RNAcentral lists this ribosomal RNA (505 nucleotides) under uncultured bacterium. Its description in RNAcentral is "partial 16S ribosomal RNA". It matches the Rfam family "Bacterial small subunit ribosomal RNA", at positions 28 to 507 of the family's 1533-position model. The record is from RNAcentral.
GACGAACGCUGGCGGCGUGCCUAAUACAUGCAAGUAGAACGCACAGUUUAUACCGUAGCUUGCUACACCAUAGACUGUGAGUUGCGAACGGGUGAGUAACGCGUAGGUAACCUGCCUGGUAGCGUGGGAUAACUAUUGGAAACGAUAGCUAAUACCUCAUAAUAUUAAUUAUUGCAUGAUAAUUGAUUGAAAGAUGCAACUGCAUCACUACCAGAUGGACCUGCGUUGUAUUAGCUAGUAGGUGAGGUAACGGCUCACCUAGGCGAGGAUACAUAGCCGACCGGAGAGGGUGAUCGGCCACACUGGGAGGGAGACACGCCACAGAGUCCCACGGGAGGCAGCAGUAGGGAAUCGUGAGCAAUGGAUGAGAGUCUGACCGAGCAACGCGGAGGGAGUAAAGAAGAUCUUCGGAUCGUAAGGCUCUGUCGUAAGGGAAGAACGCGUGUGAGAGUGGAAAGAUCACACUGUGACGGUAUCUUACAAGAAAGGGACGGCUAACUACGUG